Molecule: ribosomal RNA, 253 nt
Filed under: uncultured bacterium
Lineage: Bacteria
Description: partial 16S ribosomal RNA
Rfam family: Bacterial small subunit ribosomal RNA
Source: RNAcentral
UACGUAUGGUGCGAGCGUUAUCCGGAAUUACUGGGUGUAAAGGGAGCGUAGACGGCGAAGUAAGCCUGAAGUGGAAGCCCGCGGCCCAACCGCGGAACUGCUUUGGGAACUGCUUAGCUGGAGUAUGGGAGGGGUAAGCGGAAUUCCUGGUGUAGCGGUGAAAUGCGUAGAUAUCAGGAGGAACACCGGUGGCGAAGGCGGCUUACUGGACCAUGACUGACGUUGAGGCUCGAAAGCGUGGGGAGCGAACAGG